This 8503-nucleotide long non-coding RNA is filed under the name Carica papaya (papaya). Its description in RNAcentral is "long non-coding RNA (CPAP_LNC009720)". The record is from RNAcentral. Lineage: Eukaryota; Viridiplantae; Streptophyta; Magnoliopsida; Brassicales; Caricaceae.
AAUAUAAUUGAGUACAGAAGCAGGACCAUGUGAUCAUGUCUCUUAGCAUAUCGAACUAAAUGCAUAUUCUUCACCACUCACCACACAUUCAAAGAUUUAGACAUGAUCUAUAUAUAUAUAUAUAUAUAUAGGCUUUUAUCAUCUCCAAAAUCAACCAACUCAAGUUCAAAAAUUCUCUACCAGUUAGACAAUUUUCCUCUCUUCCCUCAAGCCAUUGAAACUUUUCUCAAAGUGACUAAUCAACAAUGACCGUUCAUUUUCCUCGUCCAUUGUAUUCCAAGCAGAUUCUCCACCGAUCAAAUUCGUUUCGAGAUCAACCAACUCCCUCGGAUGUUCCAAAAGGCCAUAUUGCAGUCUAUGUUGGGGAUCAAAAGAAGAGAUUCAUAAUUCCAAUAUCAUUUUUGCAUCAGCCUUCAUUUCAAGAGUUGCUAUGUAUGGCAGAGGAAGAAUUCGGCUACAAUCAUCCAAUGCGUGGUCUAACACUUCCCUGCACGGAAGACAUCUUCGUUGACCUCACUGCCCGCUUGAACAGAUUGUGAUAUACAGAACUUCUGAUCAAUUAGAAGUUACAAUUUUUUUCUUUAUUUUAACUUUUGUAGAAAGGAGAUGUUGAUGUGAAAGCUUUAUGCCCGUAGAGAGAGUUGCUAGUGGUAACUCCAGCAGUAUUUGCCACAAUUUUGAUCAAUUGUAAACUUGGUAGACUAGAUCAGUUAAUCAUAUCUUUUUCAGUCUAUACUUCCAAUUAUCUUUCCUUUUACAUUGAACACAAUAACAGAAUACAUAUUUGAAUUCCUCUUACAAAUUCUUUUUAUAUACAUGUUUACCAGUUGAAAUAGACACUUGAGUGUAUUUAUUUCAAAAUUUUAUAUGAAAAUAGACACGUGAAUGGAUUUACUGCAAAAAUUUACAUGGUAACAGAACUGGAUCCUGGCUUUUUCCUAAGAAUGAGUCUUGGUGCAGAAUCUCCUUCUUGUUCGCUUAUUUGAAGCUAGUCUACUUCUUCCUUAUCUCCCAGAAAUUCUCAUCCCCAUUCAUUGUGUUUAAGAUUAAAAAUAGUAUUAGUGAAACCUUUAACUUCACCAAUUUCUUAAUUUGGAAAUAUGUCAUCUUAUCUGUAUACAAAAUUUAUGAUGUUGUUAACCAUAUAGGUGGUUCUAGUGCCUGAUCUCUCACAACUACAGAAACUUGGAUCGAAAUCCGAAUGCCCUCUUAUAGAAGCAGCUCGAUUCACCUGCUCUCUCCAGAAAUUUUGUGCAGCCUACUCAAACCCAACUAGACACUCACUUCCAGACGAGCAUGUUAACAUCAUAUCAGAAUUUUUCUGAUAUGAAAUAAUUAACGGGGUGAAUGUCAUAUAUUGAAAUAUGAACAAGGAUCAUACUUUUUUAUAUUUAUUUAGACGGAUGAAUUGAUACAUUUAGCAUAAGUUGCUUCUUCAGACAUGUUGAUCAUACCAUACAAUAGGCACAUUCAACGGAGAUGACAAAGCCAAAGUCCAAUUUAAUUGAAGAAGCACACGAAAGGUUUAAAUGCAGAUGGUAAACAAAAAUCAAAGAAUGUUUAUAAAAUUGAUAUAGCUUCUUUUACGACAAGGAAUCCCUUACACGUGAUGCAAAAUGGAUAUUUUUCUACCUAUAUUGCUUUAAGUUUCCCAGUUGCGUCUUCGAAAAUCUGAUAUGUUUACCAUGUCCUUUGUACUUUUGCUUGUCUCAUGUUAACCUCAAAAACAUCUUGGGCUUUUAAUGCUUUUCUCCUUCUAUUUCUCCCUAUGCAGAUUAGCUUCACAGAAAUUUUCAUAGUUUAUUUUGCCAAUCCAGUUGUUGCAAAAUAAUAUAUACAUUGGGCUUCUUGUCUCAGACAUGUCACCAAGCAAAGGGUUGCUCCACCUUUCACCUAUAUAAACACUAAUCCACUUAAAUGAGCUUUAGUUGGAUGGGCAGUUGUCAGAUUAGAGACCAGGUAGGGCACAUUGUUUAAGAAGUUGCACUAAAAUUCAAAUCCUUGCUGAUUAGUUGGAAAACAGAACCAUGUGUAAACCUCAUUAGUUAUGUCCCCAGAAAGACCCCAUGCAGAUGACACUUGAGAAUUCAACCCAAACUAUCAUUCAAUUUGCCAUUUCCUGCCUUUAUAAAUCUAUUUGCAAUUUUCAACUCAAAGCAACCUGGUCUUUCACUUCCAACUCUCAUCCACUCUAAGCUUAUAGCUUUUGUCAAACAAAUUCAAGUCUUCGAAGCCCUUCACAAUUUUUUUCCUUGACUCAAAAGUAGAAACCAUGGCUAUUUUGCGUGCUGCUAUCCUCGCCAAACAAAUUCUUCGCCACUCAGUUACAUUUUCUUAUAAAGAAGCUUCGACGUCCACAGAUGUACCAAAAGGCUUUCUUGCUGUCUACGUUGGAGAGAGCCAAAAGAAGAGAUUUUUGGUUCCAGUCUCAUAUUUAAGGCAACCUUCCUUUCAGGCUUUGCUUAGUAAAGCUGAAGACGAGUUUGGUUUUGAUCAUCCAAUGGGCGGAUUGACAAUUCCCUGCAGUGAAGAAACUUUCUUGGACGUCACCUCACAAUUGAAAAGAUUAUGAAAGAAGCCAUUCAGAUUUCUCAGAGAAGGACUGUUUCACAAAAACAGUGCAUCAAAAGUCCUUUGGCUGUGUAUAUGGGAAAAAAUGAAGACGGCUAUUCAUGAUUUCAUGUUCAUACUUCAAGGGUCCACUUCAGAAGCUACCAUAUCAAGCUGAAGAAAAAAAGGAUCCACACGGAUGCCCUGAGCAAUUCCUUGUAGCCGAAUCUUGCAGUCAUCUCGCCUGCAGAAUAUAUGAAGAGGCCAAAAAUGGCCCAUUACUAGACCAGAGAAAUCAAAUCUGUACAAACAGUAUUGACAGAAUAGAAUACCAGUCUUAUGGCUUACUGUAAAGCUUUGAACUCUGUAGAAACUGAUUUAUACGAAAUUCAUAAUAAGGAUUUUUUAUAUAUUCCCUUGAAUUUUAUUGAGUUGUAUCUCAGAAACUAAACAUUGCAAUCCUUGAUUAUUUGUUAACUAUGUCAGCUAUCAAGUCUAAGAAAAUGCAGAUAUUAAAGUGAGGAUCACCUUCAAAACUGAUGCACCCUAAACCCUUUAACUUUUUUUGCCCUUCACCUCAUUCUCUUUACAGAGAAGCAUAAAAGACUUUGUGUUGUUUUAAUUUUACAUUUGCCCUUGCAUUUCCAUUUUCAAAUGUGUUUCUCUACCUGCAUAUUAAGAACAAUGUAUAUAUACUCAUUGAAGGCAUGCAGUUUACUGUGCACGAAGAACGUAUUUGCAAAUCCAGUCAUGAUAUUUACUGGAGCCUUCAAAGAACUACCAUUACCAAAAUCCUCAUUUUUUGUUAAGAAAGAAGAAAACUGGGGCCUUCACAUCUACCAUUCAAGUUUGACAUAUCUACCAAUAAUUUUUUCUAAAUCUAUUUUUGGAUCUGAGAAUCUGAAAGAAACUGCAGCUUGUCUUGAUAUGGACCACUAGUACUAGUGGGACACACUUCACAUGCAUAUCACAAGGACCUGCCUUGCGAAUUAAUGCAAGAAAUAUUGCCAGCAACCUUCUCUCCAAAACCAACAAAUGCUGGUGAUAACUUUUGUGUUAAAGACAUGAAAAAUGUAAAUGCAGUUUAUUACAUUCCUCAAGCUCUUUCUGGUAAAAUGGACAUUUAAGCUUUAUUUAUUAGAUUUUAACCCAAGACCAUAAUAGGUAGAGCGGCUUAAUAGAUAGACAAGUCAUUAUAAGUUUUCAUACUGGAUCUAUUUGAAAUUAACAUCCACACAGAGACUGUACAUGAGCAAAGACAAAGCCAAAGACAAGGAAUAGAAUUGGAUCUGAGUAGAAAUAAAUUUCAAUAUGUUUCAGGAAUGUCUCCAAUCAUUUAAGGUUUCAAUCUGUUAAAAUUAAAGCAGUUUCCUCUUGCCAAGUCUUUUGUUCUCAAGUGGGUCCAGUUGUAGGUUUCUCUGUUAGAAAUGGCUGGUCACUAUGUGUUCCACCAAAUCUACAAGCUUACUCGCCACCAUGCUCUUAAUCUAAUUAAGUAAGGAAACAGGACCAUGUGAUCCUUCAGGUGAUCAUGUCUCAGCAUAUCCACCCAUAUGCCUCUUCUUCACCACUCACCACAUAUUCAAAGAUUUUGACAUGACCUACAUAUAUAUAUAUAUAUAUAUAUAUAGGCUUUGAUCAUCUCCACAAUCAAGCAACUCAAGUUCAAAGAUUCUCUACUAGCUAGCAGAAUUUUCCUCUCCUCUCUCAAGCCAUUGAAAUACUAAUUAUCUUUUUUCAAAGUGACAAAUUAAUAAUGGCUAUUCGUUUUCCUCGUGUAUCAUAUUCCAAGAAGAUUCUCCGCCGAUCAAAUUCAUUUCAAGAUCAACCAACUCCCUCUGAUGUUCCAAAAGGCCAUAUUGCAGUCUAUGUUGGGGAUCAGGAUCAAAAGAAGAGAUUUGUAAUUCCAAUAUCCUUCUUGCAUCAGCCUUCAUUUCAAGAGUUGCUAUGCAUGGCAGAGGAGGAAUUUGGCUAUAAUCAUCCAAUGGGAGGUUUAACACUUCCCUGCACAGAAGACAUCUUCUUUGACCUCACUGCCCGCUUGGACAGAUUGUGAUAUACAGAACUUCUGAUCAAUUAGGAGUUACAAUUUUUUUUUUUUUUUAACUUUUGUAGAAAGACGAUGCUGAUGUGAAAGCUUUAUGCCCAUAGAGAGAGUUUCCAGUGGUAACUCCAGCAGUCUUUGCCACAAUUUUGAUCAAUUGUAAAUUUGGUAGAUUAUAUCAGUUGAUCAUAUCUUCUUCAAUCUAUACUUCCAAUUAUCUUUCUUCUAACGUUGAACACAGUAACAGAAUACAUGUUUGAAUUCUUCUAACAUUUAUCUUUCUAUAGACUUUGUAUAGAGUCCUAAACCAUGUGGACCUCUACAUGUACAUAUACAUGUUUACCAGUUGAAAACAGACACUUGAGCAUAUUUAUUUCAAAAUUUUAUAUGAAACUAGACACAUGAAUGAAUUUACUGCUAAAAUUUGCAUGGUAACAUAACUCGAUUCUGGCUUUUCUCUAAAAAUGAGUCUUCCCCGGAAUCAACUUCUUGUUCGCUUAUUGCAAGUUAGUCUAUUUCUUCCUUAUCUCGCAGAAAUUUUCAUCCCCCAUCAAUGUGUUUAAGAUUAAAGAUAUUGUUAGUGAAACCCUUAACUUCAACAAUUUCUUAAUUUGGAAAUAUGUCAUCUUAUCUGUUUCCAAAAGUUACGAUGUUGUUAACCAUAGAGGUGGGUGUAGUGCCUGUCUAUCUCUCACAACUACAGAUGAUGCAAGUCUGUCUCUUCCAACUCUGGAUGUCCUCUUAUGGAAGCAGCUCGAUUCACCUGUUCUCUCCAGAAAUUCUGUGCAGCCUACUCAAACCCAAUUAGACACACACUUCAGACAAGCAUGUUAACAUCAUAUCAGAAUUUCUUCUGAUAUCAAAUAAUUAACAAGGUGAAUGUCAUAUAUUGAAGUAUGAACAAGGAUCAUACAUUUGGCGUAUCUAUUUGGACCAACGAAUUGGUAUUUUUAGCAAUAGUUGCUUCUUUACACAUGCUGAUCGUACCAUACAAUAGGCAGAUUCAACAGAGACGACAAAGCUAAAGUCCAAUUCGAUUGAAGAAGGACAAGAAAGGUUUAAAUGCAGAUGGUGAACCAAAAUGACAGAAUGUUUAUAAAAUUGGCAUAGCUUCUCUUAUGCCAUGGAAUCCCUUACAUGUGAUUCAGAAUGGAUAUUUUUCUACCUGUAUUCCUUUAAGUUUCCCAAUUAUGUCUUCUAAAAUCUGAUGUGUUCACCAUAUCCAUUGUACUUUUGCUUGUCUCAUGUUAACCUCAAAAACAUCAACUCACAUGAGCUUUUAAUGCUUUUCUCCUUCCAUAUUUCCCGAUGCAGAUUGGCUUCACACAAAUUUCCAUAGUUUAUUUUGUCAAUCUAGUUGUUGUCUCAGACAUGUCACCAAGCUAAGGGUUGCUCCACUUUUCACCUGAAUAAACACUAAUCCAUUUAAAUGAUCUUUAGUUGGAUCCACAGUUGUCAGAUUAGAAACCAGGUAGGGUACACUGUUCAUGAUGUUGCAGUAAAAUUCAAAUCCUUGUUGAUUAGUUGGAAAACAGAACCUUGUGAAAACCUCAUUAGUUAUGUCUCCAGAAAGACCCCAACAGAUGACACUUCACAAUUUAAUCACAAACUAUCAUUCAAUUUCCUGCCUUUAUAAAUACAUUUGCAAUUUUGAAGUCAAAGCAACUCAGAUCUUUCACUUCCAACUCUCAUCCACUCUAAGCUUAUAGCUUUUGUUAAACAAAUUCGAGUAUUCAGCACUUCACAGUUUUUUUCCUUUACUUGAAAGUAGAAACCAUGGCUAUUUUGCGUGCUGCUAUUCUCACCAAACAAAUUCUUUGCCGCUCAGUUAUAUUUGCAAAUGAAGAAGCUUCCAUAUCCAUAGACAUACCAAAAGGAUUUCUUGCUGUCUAUGUUGGAGAGAACCAGAAGAAGAGAUUUUUGGUUCCAGUAUCCUAUUUAAGGCAACCCUCACAUUUCGGGCUCUACUUAGUAAAGCUGAAGAAGAGAUUGGUUUUGAUCAUCUGAUGGGCAGAUUGACAAUUCCCUGCAGUGAAGAAACUUUCUUCGAUGUCACCUCUCUACUGAACAGAUCAUGAAAGAAGCUGUUCAGAUUUCUCAGAGAAGAAAUGUUUCACAAAAACAGUGCAGCAAAAGCCCUUUGGGUGUGUACACAAGAAAAAAUGAAGACAGCUCUUCAUGAUUUCAUGUUCAUACUUCAAGGGUCCACUUCAGAAGCUGCCAUAUCAAGCUGAAGAAAAAACUGAUCCACAUGGAUGCCCUGAGCAAUUCCUUGCUGCCAAAUCUUGCAGUCGUCUCACCGCUGAAGGAUAUAUGAAGAGGCCAAAAAUGGUCCAUUACUAGACUAGAGAAACCAAAAUGUACAAAUAGAAUUGACCGAAUAGAAGUCCAUGGUUUUAUGGCUUAUUGUAAAGCUUUGAGCUAGUAAAAACUAAUUUAGAAAAAAUUUAUAAUCAAGAUUUUUUUUUUGUCUUCCCUCUAAUUUUGUUGAGUUGUAUCUCAGAAACUAAACAUUCCAAUCCUAGAUUGUUACUUCAACAUGUUAGCUACCAAGUCCAAGAAAAUUGAGAUAUUCAAGUGAGAGUCAGCUCAAAAAACAACACAUUGAAUCCUUUCAAGUUUCCUUUGUGGAGAGGCAUAAAAUUUUUCAAGAUGUUUUAUUUUAUAAUCACAGUUGUUUUUCCAUUUUCAAAUGUCUUUCUCUACCUGCAUGUUAAGAAAAAUGUAUAUAUACCCGUUGAAGGUAUGCAGUUUACUGUACAUGAAGACUGCAUUUGCUAAUCUAAUAAAUGAUAUUUAUUGGAGACUUAAAAAACUACCAUUAUCAAUCUCCUCACCUUUGGUAAAGAGAGAAGAGAACUGGGGGUCGUGGGAUCUACAGUUCAAUUUGACAGAUCCACUAAUAACUUCUUCCAAAUCUGUUUUGGAUCUGAGAAUCUAAAAGAAAAUGCAGCUUCUGUCUUGAUAGGGACCACUGGUACUAGUAGGACACACUUCACGUGCAUAUCACAAGGACCUGCCUUGCAAUUAAUGAAACUAAGCAAGGAAUAUUUCCUGCAACCUUUUUUUCCAAAAACCAACAUAUGCUGGUGAUAACUUUUGGGUUAAAGACAUGAAAAACAUAAAUGAAGUUUAUUACAUGCCUCCAGCUCUUUCUGGUNNNNNNNNNNNNNNNNNNNNNNNNNNNNNNNNNNNNNNNNNNNNNNNNNNNNNNNNNNNNNNNNNNNNNNNNNNNNNNNNNNNNNNNNNNNNNNNNNNNNNNNNNNNNNNNNNNNNNNNNNNNNNNNNNNNNNNNNNNNNNNNNNNNNNNNNNNNNNNNNNNNNNUAUGUGUUCCACCAAAUCUACAAGCUCUCUUAUCACCAAGUUCUUAAUACAAUUAAGUAGGGAAACAGGACCAUGUGAUCCUUCAGGUGAUCAUGUCCCUUACCCAAAUGCCUCUUCUUCACCACUCACCACAUAUUCAGCAAUUUUGGCAUGAUCUAUACAUAUAUAUAGGCUUUUAUCAUCUCCAAAAUCAACAAAUUCCAACGAUUCUACUUACUAACAAAUUUUUUCUCUCCUCUCUCAAGCUACUGAAAUCUUGAUUAUCUUUUCUCUAAGUGACUAAUUAACAAUGGCUAUUCGUUUUCCCCGUGUAUUGUAUUCCAAGCAGAUUCUCCGCAGAUCAAAUUCUUUUGGAAAUCAGUUAGCUUCCUCUGAUGUUCCAAAAGGCUACGUUGCAGUCUAUGUUGGAGAUCAAGAUCAAAAGAAGAGAUUCAUAAUUCCAAUAUCAUUCUUGCAUCAACCUUCAUUUCAAGAGUUGCUAUGCAUGGCAGAGGAGGAAUUCGGCUACAAUCAUCCAAUGGGUGGUCUCACACUGCCCUGCACAGAGGACAUCUUCGUUCACCUCACUGCCCGCUUGAACAGAU